CCUACGGGGGGCAGCAGUGGGGAAUAUUGGACAAUGGGCGCAACCUGAUCCAGCCAUGCCGCGUGAGUGAUGAAGGCCUUAGGGUUGUAAAGCUCUUUCGCCAGGGACGCGGUACCUGGAUAAGAAGCCCCGGCUAACUUCGUGCCAGCAGCCGCGGUAAUACGAAGGGGGCUAGCGUUGUUCGGAAUUACUGGGCGUAAAGCGUAUGCAGGCGGAUUGUUAAGUCAGGGGUGAAAUCCCGAGGCUCAACUCGGAACUGCCUUUGAUACUGGCAAUCUUGAGUCCGGGAGAGGUUAGUGGAACUGCGAGUGUAGAGGUGAAAUUCGUAGAUAUUCGCAAGAACACCAGUGGCGAAGGCGGCUAACUGGCCGGACUGACGCUGAGAUACGAAACGUGGGGAGCAAACAGGAUUAGAUACCCUUGUAGUC
RNAcentral lists this ribosomal RNA (428 nucleotides) under uncultured bacterium. RNAcentral describes it as "partial 16S ribosomal RNA". It matches the Rfam family "Bacterial small subunit ribosomal RNA", at positions 338 to 795 of the family's 1533-position model. The record is from RNAcentral.